This 72-nucleotide transfer RNA is filed under the name Purpura bufo. RNAcentral's name for it is "tRNA-Leu". It matches the Rfam family "tRNA". Rfam says of the family: Transfer RNA (tRNA) molecules are approximately 80 nucleotides in length. Lineage: Eukaryota; Metazoa; Mollusca; Gastropoda; Neogastropoda; Muricidae. The record is from RNAcentral.
UAUCAAAUUAGCAAAGAAUAAUGCAAUUGACUUAGGAUCAAUAGACAUAGGUGAAAUCCCUUUAUUUGAUAU